AGGCCGGGAACUCAAAGGAGACUGCCAGUGAUAAAGUGGAGGAAGGUGGGGAUGACGUCAAGUCAUCAUGGCCCUUACGACCAGGGCUACACACGUGCUACAAUGGCGCAUACAAAGAGAAGCGACCUCGCGAGAGCAAGCGGACCUCAUAAAGUGCGUCGUAGUCCGGAUUGGAGUCUGCAACUCGACUCCAUGAAGUCGGAAUCGCUAGUAAUCGUGGAUCAGAAUGCCACGGUGAAUACGUUCCCGGGCCUUGUACACACCGCCCGUCACACCAUGGGAGUGGGUUGCAAAAGAAGUAGGUAGCUUAACCUUCGGGAGGGCGCUUACCACUUUGUGAUUCAUGACUGGGGUGAAGUCGUAACAAGGUAACCGUAGGGGAACCUGCGGUUGGAUCACCUCCUUACCUUAAAGAA
RNAcentral lists this ribosomal RNA (416 nucleotides) under Salmonella enterica subsp. enterica serovar Heidelberg. RNAcentral describes it as "bacterial SSU rRNA". It matches the Rfam family "Bacterial small subunit ribosomal RNA", at positions 1128 to 1533 of the family's 1533-position model. The record is from RNAcentral. Lineage: Bacteria; Pseudomonadati; Pseudomonadota; Gammaproteobacteria; Enterobacterales; Enterobacteriaceae.